GACGAACGCUGGCGGCGUGCUUAACACAUGCAAGUCGAACGAAGUGGCGAACGGGUGAGUAACGCGUAAUCAACCUGCCAUUCAGAGGGGGAAAACAGUUGGAAACGACUGCUAAUACCGCAUACUGAAGGCUGGGAUUGCGUCUGAUUAGCUAGUUGGAGGGGUGAAGGCCCACCAAGGCGAUGAACAGUAGCCGGUCUGAUAGGAUGAGCGGCCUCAUUGGGACUGAGACACGGCCCAGACGCGUACGGGAGGCAGCAGUGGGGAAUCUUCCGCAAUGGACGAAAGUCUGACGGAGCAACGCCGCGUGAGGGAUGACGGCCUUCGGGUGGUAAAGCUCUGUUAAUCGGGACGCGGUACCGGAAUAGAAAGCCACGGCUAACUACGUGCCAGCAGCCGCGGUAAUAC
RNAcentral lists this ribosomal RNA (408 nucleotides) under uncultured bacterium. RNAcentral's name for it is "partial 16S ribosomal RNA". It matches the Rfam family "Bacterial small subunit ribosomal RNA", at positions 28 to 526 of the family's 1533-position model. The record is from RNAcentral.